This 356-nucleotide long non-coding RNA is filed under the name Daucus carota (carrot). Its description in RNAcentral is "long non-coding RNA (DCAR_LNC004230)". Lineage: Eukaryota; Viridiplantae; Streptophyta; Magnoliopsida; Apiales; Apiaceae. The record is from RNAcentral.
CCCGCUCUUCACUCAGUGACGAACUUCCCUGAACAUCCGCUUGCUGUCAAUCCACAGAAUGCACUACAUGGUCAACGUUCACAGAUUGAACAAGCAUGGCCUUCCUUGAAUGUUCCACCUCCCGCUCUUCACUCAGUGACGAACUUCCCUAGACAUCCACUUGCCGGCAAUCCACAUAAUGCACUACAUGGUCAACAUCCGCAGAUUGAACAAGCAGGGCCUUCCUUGAAUGUUCCACCUCCCGCUCUUCACUCAGUGACGAACUUCCCUAGACAUCCGCUUGCUGGCAAUCUACAGAAUGCACCACAUGGUCAACAUCCGCAGAUUGAACAAGCAGGGCCUUCCUUGAAUGUUCC